Molecule: non-coding RNA, 29 nt
Filed under: Homo sapiens (human)
Lineage: Eukaryota; Metazoa; Chordata; Mammalia; Primates; Hominidae
Source: RNAcentral
ACUCAGCUGUGAUGCUGCUGCAGUGUGAC